Molecule: ribosomal RNA, 836 nt
Filed under: uncultured bacterium
Lineage: Bacteria
Description: bacterial SSU rRNA
Rfam family: Bacterial small subunit ribosomal RNA
Source: RNAcentral
ACACAUGCAAGUCGAGGGGCAGCAUUUUAGUUUGCUUGCAAACUAAAGAUGGCGACCGGCGCACGGGUGAGUAACACGUAUCCAACCUGCCGAUAACUCGGGGAUAGCCUUUCGAAAGAAAGAUUAAUAUCCGAUAGUAUAUUAAAACCGCAUGGUUUUACUAUUAAAGAAUUUCGGUUAUCGAUGGGGAUGCGUUCCAUUAGUUUGUUGGCGGGGUAACGGCCCACCAAGACAACGAUGGAUAGGGGUUCUGAGAGGAAGGUCCCCCACAUUGGAACUGAGACACGGUCCAAACUCCUACGGGAGGCAGCAGUGAGGAAUAUUGGUCAAUGGACGAGAGUCUGAACCAGCCAAGUAGCGUGAAGGAUGACUGCCCUAUGGGUUGUAAACUUCUUUUAUAUGGGAAUAAAGUAUUCCACGUGUGGGAUUUUGUAUGUACCAUAUGAAUAAGGAUCGGCUAACUCCGUGCCAGCAGCCGCGGUAAUACGGAGGAUCCGAGCGUUAUCCGGAUUUAUUGGGUUUAAAGGGAGCGUAGGUGGAUUGUUAAGUCAGUUGUGAAAGUUUGCGGCUCAACCGUAAAAUUGCAGUUGAAACUGGCAGUCUUGAGUACAGUAGAGGUGGGCGGAAUUCGUGGUGUAGCGGUGAAAUGCUUAGAUAUCACGAAGAACUCCGAUUGCGAAGGCAGCUCACUAGACUGCAACUGACACUGAUGCUCGAAAGUGUGGGUAUCAAACAGGAUUAGAUACCCUGGUAGUCCACACAGUAAACGAUGAAUACUCGCUGUUUGCGAUAUACAGUAAGCGGCCAAGCGAAAGCAUUAAGUAUUCCACCUGGGG